CAGGGGGGGCUAGCGUUGUUCGGAAUUACUGGGCGUAAAGGGUUCGUAGGUGGCCGGCUAAGUCAUACGUGAAAUCCCUCAGCUUAACUGGGGAACUGCGUCUGAUACUGGUCGGCUUGAGUGCGGGAGAGGAACGCGGAAUUCCAGGUGUAGCGGUGAAAUGCGUAGAUAUCUGGAGGAACACCGGUGGCGAAGGCGGCGUUCUGGACUGCAACUGACACUGAGGAACGAAAGCCAGGGGAGCAAACGGGAUUAGAUACCCCGGUAGUCCUGGCCCUAAACGAUGAAUGCUUGGUGUGGCGGGUAUCGAUCCCUGCCGUGCCGAAGUUAACGCGUUAAGCAUUCCGCCUGGGGAGUACGGUCGCAAGGCUG
This 372-nucleotide ribosomal RNA is filed under the name uncultured organism. RNAcentral describes it as "bacterial SSU rRNA". It matches the Rfam family "Bacterial small subunit ribosomal RNA", at positions 526 to 896 of the family's 1533-position model. The record is from RNAcentral.